Molecule: ribosomal RNA, 1543 nt
Filed under: Vibrio parahaemolyticus AQ4037
Lineage: Bacteria; Pseudomonadati; Pseudomonadota; Gammaproteobacteria; Vibrionales; Vibrionaceae
Description: bacterial SSU rRNA
Rfam family: Bacterial small subunit ribosomal RNA
Source: RNAcentral
AGAGUUUGAUCAUGGCUCAGAUUGAACGCUGGCGGCAGGCCUAACACAUGCAAGUCGAGCGGAAACGAGUUAUCUGAACCUUCGGGGAACGAUAGCGGCGUCGAGCGGCGGACGGGUGAGUAAUGCCUAGGAAAUUGCCCUGAUGUGGGGGAUAACUAUUGGAAACGAUGGCUAAUACCGCAUGAUGCCUACGGGCCAAAGAGGGGGACCUUCGGGCCUCUCGCGUCAGGAUAUGCCUAGGUGGGAUUAGCUAGUUGGUGAGGUAAGGGCUCACCAAGGCGACGAUCCCUAGCUGGUCUGAGAGGAUGAUCAGCCACACUGGAACUGAGACACGGUCCAGACUCCUACGGGAGGCAGCAGUGGGGAAUAUUGCACAAUGGGCGCAAGCCUGAUGCAGCCAUGCCGCGUGUGUGAAGAAGCCUUCGGGUGUAAAGCACUUUCAGUCGUGAGGAAGGUAGUGUAGUUAAUAGCUGCAUUAUUUGACGUUAGCGACAGAAGAAGCACCGGCUAACUCCGUGCCAGCAGCCGCGGUAAUACGGAGGGUGCGAGCGUUAAUCGGAAUUACUGGGCGUAAAGCGCAUGCAGGUGGUUUGUUAAGUCAGAUGUGAAAGCCCGGGGCUCAACCUCGGAAUUGCAUUUGAAACUGGCAGACUAGAGUACUGUAGAGGGGGGUAGAAUUUCAGGUGUAGCGGUGAAAUGCGUAGAGAUCUGAAGGAAUACCGGUGGCGAAGGCGGCCCCCUGGACAGAUACUGACACUCAGAUGCGAAAGCGUGGGGAGCAAACAGGAUUAGAUACCCUGGUAGUCCACGCCGUAAACGAUGUCUACUUGGAGGUUGUGGCCUUGAGCCGUGGCUUUCGGAGCUAACGCGUUAAGUAGACCGCCUGGGGAGUACGGUCGCAAGAUUAAAACUCAAAUGAAUUGACGGGGGCCCGCACAAGCGGUGGAGCAUGUGGUUUAAUUCGAUGCAACGCGAAGAACCUUACCUACUCUUGACAUCCAGAGAACUUUCCAGAGAUGGAUUGGUGCCUUCGGGAACUCUGAGACAGGUGCUGCAUGGCUGUCGUCAGCUCGUGUUGUGAAAUGUUGGGUUAAGUCCCGCAACGAGCGCAACCCUUAUCCUUGUUUGCCAGCGAGUAAUGUCGGGAACUCCAGGGAGACUGCCGGUGAUAAACCGGAGGAAGGUGGGGACGACGUCAAGUCAUCAUGGCCCUUACGAGUAGGGCUACACACGUGCUACAAUGGCGCAUACAGAGGGCAGCCAACUUGCGAAAGUGAGCGAAUCCCAAAAAGUGCGUCGUAGUCCGGAUUGGAGUCUGCAACUCGACUCCAUGAAGUCGGAAUCGCUAGUAAUCGUGGAUCAGAAUGCCACGGUGAAUACGUUCCCGGGCCUUGUACACACCGCCCGUCACACCAUGGGAGUGGGCUGCAAAAGAAGUAGGUAGUUUAACCUUCGGGGGGACGCUUACCACUUUGUGGUUCAUGACUGGGGUGAAGUCGUAACAAGGUAGCGCUAGGGGAACCUGGCGCUGGAUCACCUCCUU